Molecule: ribosomal RNA, 433 nt
Filed under: uncultured bacterium
Lineage: Bacteria
Description: partial 16S ribosomal RNA
Rfam family: Bacterial small subunit ribosomal RNA
Source: RNAcentral
AACGAACGCUGGCGGCAGGCCUAACACAUGCAAGUCGAGCGGACCCUUCGGGGUUAGCGGCGGACGGGUGAGUAACGCGUGGGAAUAUGCCCUUCUCUACGGAAUAGUCCUGGGAAACUGGGGGUAAUACCGUAUACGCCCUUUGGGGGAAAGAUUUAUCGGGGAAGGAUUAGCCCGCGUUGGAUUAGGUAGUUGGUGGGGUAAUGGCCUACCAAGCCGACGAUCCAUAGCUGGUUUGAGGGGAUGAUCAGCCACACUGGGACUGAGACACGGCCCAGACUCCUACGGGAGGCAGCAGUGGGGAAUCUUAGACAAUGGGGGCAACCCUGAUCUAGCCAUGCCGCGUGAGUGAUGAAGGCCUUAGGGUUGUAAAGCUCUUUCAGCUGGGAAGAUAAUGACGGUACCAGCAGAAGAAGCCCCGGCUAACUCCGUG